This 616-nucleotide ribosomal RNA is filed under the name uncultured Bacilli bacterium. RNAcentral describes it as "bacterial SSU rRNA". It matches the Rfam family "Bacterial small subunit ribosomal RNA", at positions 44 to 622 of the family's 1533-position model. The record is from RNAcentral. Lineage: Bacteria; Bacillati; Bacillota; Bacilli.
GUGCCUAAUACAUGCAAGUCGAACGAGUUCUGAUUAUUGAAAGGUGCUUGCAUCUUGAUUUUAAUUUUGAACGAGUGGCGGACGGGUGAGUAACACGUGGGUAACCUGCCCUUAAGUGGGGGAUAACAUUUGGAAACAGAUGCUAAUACCGCAUAAAUCCAAGAACCGCAUGGUUCUUGGCUGAAAGAUGGCGUAAGCUAUCGCUUUUGGAUGGACCCGCGGCGUAUUAGCUAGUUGGUGAGGUAACGGCUCACCAAGGCAAUGAUACGUAGCCGAACUGAGAGGUUGAUCGGCCACAUUGGGACUGAGACACGGCCCAAACUCCCUACGGGAGGCAGCAGUAGGGAAUCUUCCACAAUGGACGCAAGUCUGAUGGAGCAACGCCGCGUGAGUGAAGAAGGCUUUCGGGUCGUAAAACUCUGUUGUUGGAGAAGAAUGGUCGGCAGAGUAACUGUUGUCGGCGUGACGGUAUCCAACCAGAAAGCCACGGCUAACUACGUGCCAGCAGCCGCGGUAAUACGUAGGUGGCAAGCGUUAUCCGGAUUUAUUGGGCGUAAAGCGAGCGCAGGCGGUUUUUUAAGUCUGAUGUGAAAGCCCCCGGCUUAACCGAGGAAGU